AUCAUGAUAAGAUGAGAGAGAGAGACUGGAAGAAAGAAGAAAGCUCUGUAUUUUAGUAACUUCAAUGAUACCUUUUUCCUGCUUUUUGAAAAAGAGGUCCCACAUUUUCAUUUUGAACAAGGAGCCCCACAGUUGUGAGAACAGCCUGACAGAGGGCAUGGAGACUGAGGAUAGGAGGCCCACUCAGAUCCCAGAGUUAUUCAGAGAGGAAGAAACCAAUGCUUUGAAAGGUUGAGCAACCUGUCCACAUCACUUGACCGGCAAGCAGCACAGCCAAUGACCGUGGACCCAUAGACCUCAGCCACCAACUUCUGUGCUGUCCUGCCUGCUAGGUGUAACAUACCUAAUUCUUUUGCCCCUGUCUCCUUGGAUGUCAGGCUCCUCCUGCCCUCCUUGGCCCCUCCCUGUUGGGUGUACAUCCUUCCAGACUGUUUUCCAUGCACUUCGGUGCCAGGAUGAUUAUCAAGAUGCCACUUUCUUUGCCAUCCUUGUAUCCUUCCUCCAGAUAUACAAGGUAGCCAAACCUUUAUGAAUGCAGCAGGGGUUUGCUAACAGCUUUUGGAGAUCAGGCCACACUCUACAUAUAACAAUCCACCAUGUAACUUAGCCAGGAAUUAUUUAUCAACCCCCCUUCUUUGAAGAGGAUGGGGGACACAGAGA
Molecule: long non-coding RNA, 660 nt
Filed under: Homo sapiens (human)
Lineage: Eukaryota; Metazoa; Chordata; Mammalia; Primates; Hominidae
Description: HSALNT0360490
Source: RNAcentral